CAUACAGACAGACAAACAAACAUACAUACAUACAAAGAACACAAGGAGGACAUAAAAAAAAACAAAAUGGAUGUAACGGAAAAUAAGGAAAGAAGGGGUAUAUCUCGAUUACUCAAUGAAUUGUAUAUAAAUUGGAAUUAUAGAAGGCAAAGUUGGAGAAUUAGUUUUUAUUAUAAUUGCUUAACCAUUGUCGCUAUUCUUAAUAUUAUAAUUACUUUAAUAUUCCAACAUCUUAUUAAGUCUUUUAAUAUUUUUAUAAAUUAUUCAUGUGAUGCUUAUUAUAUUAACUUUAUAUUAAAUGAUUUACUAACCUUUAUGAUUUUAGCAUUUUUUACAUGUUUUUUUGCUUUUUGUCUAUCAAGAAUUUGUGCAAUACUUUCAAAUUUUACUAUGAAUGACUUUAUGUCUUUAGGAAAAUGGAUUGAAAUAUUAGGCUGUACUGCUAAAUGGUUUCCUUGGAUUGUAGCUAUUUUAUUUAUAUUUUGGUUUUUAAUAAACACAUUUAAUUUAUGCACAAUAUAUCUUAGUCCUAAUUUAUGGUGUAGAACCCGUUUAAAUACCUUAGGCACAUAUAUAGUAGAGAACUGUAGAAUAUUUGAAGGGAAAAGAUCUACAUGUGCUAACGAAUUUUUAGAUUCGACUAUCAAAACUGUAAACAAUAUUAGAAAAUGCAAUGAUUUAACUUAUCUUAAAAAUAAUAAUUAUUUCAAUUUUAUUCCUGAUUUGAAUAGCAAUAAUUAUACGAAAUGUACUUUUAAUAAUACCUCUAUUUGUAAUAAAUAUAAAAAUAUGAGAUUUAAUACAACCGUAUCACCAGAAGUAAAAACUUUAGAAUCAUACGGGUGUCUCGAAAACCCUAAUUUAGACGUUGACGAUUUUUAUGACAAUAAAUUAAAUAACAGCGAUUUAUAUACAUAUUUGCAAAUAUAUAUUAUUGGCAGUAAUAUUACGUUUUUUCUCUUAAUGUUCUUUUUCUUUUUUGUUAAACGUACUACACAUCUUGAUGGGUUAUUUUAUCAGUCAAUAACUCGUUCGGAUAUGCUAAUACUACGCUUUUUACGUUUUUUAAUUC
This 1072-nucleotide long non-coding RNA is filed under the name Piliocolobus tephrosceles (Ugandan red Colobus). RNAcentral describes it as "lncRNA (ENSPTEG00000002232.1)". Lineage: Eukaryota; Metazoa; Chordata; Mammalia; Primates; Cercopithecidae. The record is from RNAcentral.